CAGUUCUUAACGGCCGCGCGUCCAGAGUCUGUUCCUUCUGAUGUUCGGAUGUGUUCGGAGUUUCUUCCUUCUGGUGGGUUCGUGGUCUCGCUGGCUCGGGAGUGAAGCUGCAGACGUUUGCGGAACUCGUGAGUUAUGACAAAAAGAUAUUAUGACUCCCAUGCAGCGGAUGAAGACAUUGAUGCCCAUGAAAGGAGAUUCACAAGCCUCCCUCCCAGAUUCAGGGAAGGAGAUGCAGCCCCCACCCCUUGACUGGAGGAGGACCAAGGUCACCUUGCAGAGCACCGUGAGAUGUGGAAGAUGCCAGAACUGUCUGUGGGAAAUGGGAUUUGUACUUGGCUUGUCUGCCUCUUGCAACCAGAGUCCUGGUUCUCAGGGCCUCACCUGUGCAUCUCUUGUUGAGCACAGAGGAGGCACUCGGCAUAAAUGAAGAGGAUGCUUGCUGAGCUGGCUGGCCCAUCCUCUCUUCUUUCCCUUGUUUUUCUAUUUUAUCUUUCAAAGCAGUGUUUCAAGUGUUUAUAAACUAAUCUAUGUAUAAAAUAUUAUGUGGCAUAAGAUUUGCAAAAUAUUAAAGAUUUAAAGAAUCAAAUAAAAUAUUUGUAUGAUACCACAAAAAAAAAA
This 621-nucleotide long non-coding RNA is filed under the name Homo sapiens (human). RNAcentral describes it as "long independently transcribed non-coding RNA 3021, transcript variant 3 (LINC03021)". Lineage: Eukaryota; Metazoa; Chordata; Mammalia; Primates; Hominidae. The record is from RNAcentral.